GAGUGGCGGACGGGUGAGUAACACGUGGGUAACCUACCCAUCAGAGGGGGAUAACACUUGGAAACAGGUGCUAAUACCGCAUAACAGUUUAUGCCGCAUGGCAUAAGAGUGAAAGGCGCUUUCGGGUGUCGCUGAUGGAUGGACCCGCGGUGCAUUAGCUAGUUGGUGAGGUAACGGCUCACCAAGGCCACGAUGCAUAGCCGACCUGAGAGGGUGAUCGGCCACACUGGGACUGAGACACGGCCCAGACUCCUACGGGAGGCAGCAGUAGGGAAUCUUCGGCAAUGGACGAAAGUCUGACCGAGCAACGCCGCGUGAGUGAAGAAGGUUUUCGGAUCGUAAAACUCUGUUGUUAGAGAAGAACAAGGACGUUAGUAACUGAACGUCCCCUGACGGUAUCUAACCAGAAAGCCACGGCUAACUACGUGCCAGCAGCCGCGGUAAUACGUAGGUGGCAAGCGUUGUCCGGAUUUAUUGGGCGUAAAGCGAGCGCAGGCGGUUUCUUAACUCUGAUGUGAAAGCCCCCGGCUCAACC
RNAcentral lists this ribosomal RNA (535 nucleotides) under Enterococcus faecalis. RNAcentral describes it as "bacterial SSU rRNA". It matches the Rfam family "Bacterial small subunit ribosomal RNA", at positions 93 to 614 of the family's 1533-position model. Lineage: Bacteria; Bacillati; Bacillota; Bacilli; Lactobacillales; Enterococcaceae. The record is from RNAcentral.